Molecule: transfer RNA, 73 nt
Filed under: Corynebacterium glutamicum
Lineage: Bacteria; Bacillati; Actinomycetota; Actinomycetes; Mycobacteriales; Corynebacteriaceae
Description: tRNA-Arg
Rfam family: tRNA
About the family: Transfer RNA (tRNA) molecules are approximately 80 nucleotides in length. Their secondary structure includes four short double-helical elements and three loops (D, anti-codon, and T loops). Further hydrogen bonds mediate the characteristic L-shaped molecular structure. tRNAs have two regions of fundamental functional importance: the anti-codon, which is responsible for specific mRNA codon recognition, and the 3' end, to which the tRNAs corresponding amino acid is attached (by aminoacyl-tRNA synthetases). tRNAs cope with the degeneracy of the genetic code in two manners: having more than one tRNA (with a specific anti-codon) for a particular amino acid; and 'wobble' base-pairing, i.e. permitting non-standard base-pairing at the 3rd anti-codon position.
Source: RNAcentral
GGAUGAUUAGCUCAACGGAUAGAGUAGAGCACUUCUAAUGCUCAGGUUGCAGGUUCGAUCCCUGCAUCAUCCA